UUUUUUUUUUUUUUUUUUUUUUUUUUUGGUCUUUUUGCCUUUUCUAGGGCCGCUCUCGCGGCAUAUGGAGGUUCCCAGGCUAGGGGUCCAAUCGGAGCGGUAGCCACCAGCCUAUGCCAGAGCCACAGUAGUGCCAGAUCUGAGCCACGUCUGCGACCUACACCACAGCUCACGGCAACGCCGGAUCCUUAGCCCACUGAGCAAGGCCAGGGAUCGAACCCUCAACUUCAUGGUUCCUAGUCAAAUUUGUUAACCACUGCACCACGACGGGAACUCCUGGAUCGAGCGACUUUAAACCAUUUACAGGACUGACUGCAUGGGCCCCAGGGGCAGGCAGUCAGCCAAGCGCGAGGGCCACUACAUCCGGGCGCAGGGCAGGGGUGACCACCAGGGGACAGGGGGCCCUGCAGGGGGCCUGUGGUGGGGCUGGCCGGCCCGUGUGGAUGGGGACGUGCACGUUUCUCUGGGACACAUCGUCGUCCUCCUGGGUGCCACCAUCUCCAGGGAAGGGAAGGCAGGUCGCAUCCCAGGACUGGAAACUGCUCUCCAGGUACCAAGACGCUGCCUCAGGUCCACCUGGAGCCGCCUGUCACCUGUCCAGGUGACAUCUCCCACCAGCCUGGGGGCCAGAGCAGGCGUUAGAGGAGGGGCAGGCUCUGGGUACCAGGGACCUGCAUGGCAAGAGGGCCAGGCGGGGGGACAGGAACCCAGAAAGGUCCACACCGCCCCCCCACCCCAACCCAGGGCCCAGGCAGCACACCCACCCUCAGCUGGGAGCCUGACCGCCGGGAGGCAGCAGAGAUGCCGCGCGUGGGCAGCUCCCUCGGGCCGUGCAGGUGCAGCCAGCACCUCACCGCGGGGCCCCCUUCCGCCGCUGCUCCAGCGCCGGCAGCCGCUCCUCCCGGGUCAGCGCGUGCUGGGCCCCCGCCCUGUGGGCCGCCUCGGUGGCCGUGACGUCGAUCUGCGCGUAGCAGGAGGCGCCGGCCCCUGCGAGCAGCGGGGUGAGCCUGCGGGCACCGCGCCCGCCUGGGCAAGGUGGCAGCGGGCAGCUCCCAUCCCCCCAGGGCCAGAGCCCGAGCUUCACUGCGAGGAAAGACGGGGUGAUGAGGCGCCCCGGCCCAGGACCCGCCACCGCACACCCACCUCGGAUGACCGCGCUGGCCUCCGGGAGUCUCAGGCCCAGGUAGUGCUGCUGCUUCUGGGAGGAGGGGCUGGCGGGCACAUUCACAUAAGUGGGCGUCUCAGUGCGGGGCCUCUCGGGCCCCGGGGCUCCUGUGGGGAGAGGGCUGUGAGGCCCCGGGGAGUGGCCCAGGGCUGAGCAGACCCCCUAGAAUGUUCGAGAAAGAGAUCCCUGCCCCCACCCCACAUGUCCCACCCUGCACCUUUCCAGGACCUGGGGGGCCUCCCCAACACCCCACUUUCCUGAACCAUCUUUGCCCACCCCACCCCAUCCCCUCUGCCCCCGCAGCACAUGCCUCUGCCCGCUCACCGGCUGACCGCAGAUGCCCCCUGUGGCCCGCUGGACUAAAGCAGUCACACCCUUCUGCCCCAGCCCCCACCCUCCACCGUCCCCUCCGGCCACUCCCUCCUCCCAGGCAGGACACUCUGGCCCUGCCCAUUCCAGGCCCUCCCCCUCGGUGUCCUCAUAGGUCACCCCACCUGCUCCAGGCUUCAGGGACCCUCUCUGGGCCGUGAGUCCCCACAGGGCAUCAUUCCCUGAGCCCAGGCCCGCACGUCCACCCACAGCGACACCUCCUCCAGGGUGGCCCCAGUACUUCAAGUCCCCUCCAUCGUCCGAGAAACUGCCCCCCCUUGCCCCCCCUUUCCUAGGAGUCGAUGAUUUCACCCAGCAAACACCACCGGGCCGUGAGCCAGGCGUGGCAGGAAGGAGUGGAGACCCAGAGUGCCCCCCCACCCCCACCCAGCCCAGGAGCCCUGCAGUCCAGGCACAGGGUCCCAGCUGCUGGGGCACAGGGGGUGGGGGCCCUGCAGAGAGCCAGCCCCCGUCUCGCCCCAGCGCUGGGUCUGAGGGGGUCUAGGAAGGAGGCCUGAGCUGGACCUGAGGUCAUGCAGACACGCCACGCCACAGCUGGGUUUAAGGCUGGGUGCGUGUUUUCCACAGUGGAAGCAGGACAGGGAGGAAGGUUCUGGGCGGCCCAGCCUCUCCAGGGUCACCAGCGGCACGGGAAGGCCACUGGGCCCCCUUGGCCUCUAGCAGCGCCUGUGUGGGGAGGGUGUCCCCCUGGUGGGCCCUCCGCUGCCCUGGCUCCCCCCGGCUCCCCAGCACCUCCAACCUUCACCUCCAAUAGCCUGCCCCACCCUUCAGGUGGGCCUUCUUUUCUUUCUUUCUGGUCUUUUUAGGGUCACACCCAAGGCAUACGUUGGUUCCCAGGCUGGAGAGUGACUCAGAGCUGCAUCUGCCGGCCUACACCACGGCCACAGCAACGCAGCAUCCGAGCCACGUCUGCCAUCCACACCGCAGCUCAUAGGAAGGCCAGAUCCUCCCGUGAAAAGAUGCUCAGCGUCACUCAUGAUUAGAGAGAUGCACAGCAAAACCACGAUGAGGCACCACCUGACACCAGCCAGAAUGGCCAGCAUCCAAAAGUCUACAAACAGUAAGUGCUGGAGCGGGUGUGGAGAACAAGGAACCCUAGUACACUGUUGGUGGGAUUGCAAAUUGGUGCAACCACUGUGGAAAGCAGUAUGGAGAGUCCUCAGAAAACUAAACAUAGAACUACCAUUUGAUUCAGCAAUCCCACUCCUGGGCAUCUAUCCAGAGAAAACCAUGACUCGAAAAGACACAUGUACUCCAAUGUUCGUUGCAGCACUAUUUACAAUAGCCAAGACAUGGAAACAACCUAAAUGUCCAUCAACAGAGGAGUGGAUCCAGAAGAUGUGGUACAUACACACGAUGGAAUAUUACUCAGCCAUCAAAAAGAACGAAAUACCAGCAUUUUUAGCAACAUGGAUGGACCUAGAAACUAUCAUGCUAAGUGAGGUCAGCUAUACAAUGAGACACCAACAUCAAGUGCUUUCACUGACAUGUGGAAUCUGAAAACAGGACAGACGGAACUUCUUUGCAGAACAGAUGCUGACUCACAGACAUUGAAAAACUUAUGGUCUCCGGAGGAGACCGUUUGGGGGGUGGGGGGAUGUGCUUGGGCUGUGGGACGGAAAUCCUGUGAAAUCAGAUUGUGAUGAUCAUUAUACAACUACAGACGUGAUCAAUUCAUUUGAGU
Molecule: long non-coding RNA, 3239 nt
Filed under: Sus scrofa (pig)
Lineage: Eukaryota; Metazoa; Chordata; Mammalia; Artiodactyla; Suidae
Description: lncRNA (ENSSSCG00000053376.1)
Source: RNAcentral